AGCAAAAGUCUCUCCGAGCUGAAGAUGCCGCUCUCCCGCUACUCUCGGCGGGACAAGGGCAGCCUGAAAGCGCCCGGCUACAAAUACCUCACCGGCCCGCCCGGAGCCUCCCCCCCGGGCAGGCACCGCCGCGCCCCUACCUGAGCCACCACAUGUAGCUGUGCUCGUAGGGGAAGAAGCUGUGGGGGUCAUCGCAGCAGUACUUGACGUCCUGGAAGCCGCAGCAGAACACGGCGCGGGCGUCGCCGCCCGCCCGCGGGCAGCUGAACCCGCUCACCAGCACCUUGUCGGCGUUGAGGUCUUGCCUUGACAUGAACUCCAGGCAAGUGGAGUGUCGUCUUCCAGCUGUCGGGCAAAAGUAAGAGCCAGGAGUGAUGGCAGCUCAGGGAGGUGCAGCCCUGCAGGAUCUGAAGGUGGACAGGCUGGUGGAUGGGCACCAUCAGCAGCGCCAGGCAAGAACUAAAUAACGAAGAAGAAGAAAGUGAUUUUAAGCAUCAAGAAGUAAGAAGAGGCUUCAGUCAAAAUUUUAAGGAAGAGGAAAAACCAGUGAAACACAGUGAAGUAGGAAGUUGGCACCAGUAAU
Long non-coding RNA from Pipra filicauda (Wire-tailed manakin), 583 nucleotides. RefSeq lists it as uncharacterized. The transcript is spliced from 3 exons. The record is from RefSeq and is a predicted model, not a curated record. NCBI's taxonomy places the organism in Eukaryota, Metazoa, Chordata, Aves, Passeriformes, Pipridae.